Molecule: transfer RNA, 65 nt
Filed under: Onchidella borealis
Lineage: Eukaryota; Metazoa; Mollusca; Gastropoda; Systellommatophora; Onchidiidae
Description: tRNA-Lys
Source: RNAcentral
UUUUAAGUGGCCGAGUAAAGCUGUAGAUUUUUAAUCUACCUACGGGCUGUAGCCCCUUUUGCGUU